GGGGAAUUGCAGGCUGUACCUGUAAUUACCAUGCCAAGGACUGCGACAGGUGGACUGGAGGGGCUGAGCCUCCCGGGAGCGCUGGGGAAUGACGUUAGGAGGAUGAGCUGCUGAACCCAGGAACAGUCGGGAUGAGAGAGUCAAGAGAACUGGGAAGCUUUAAGAGCUUGGAUGAAGGCACCUGAGGGGCUGGAGGGAGAUGGAGUCAAGAAGGGCUCCUGUUCAUUUUUGUUUUCUGUUUUGACAAAAGCGUCUGUGUGAACAGAGAGCGCGUGGCCCUGGGAGGGGCCCAUCCAGACCUGGGCCCCUGAGACCCCCUCCCCAUACUAUUAAUCUCUAUGUCUUUGUUUUUGAAGGACAUUGUCCCCCCAGGCCUAGAAGCCACUUAAUUCAUUAGUUCUUCAUCAUUUAUGCCCUAUUUCAUUAUGUCAUAAUCUUUACAGUUGUUCAUUUGCAUUUCAUUUCUUGCAGUGACAAAAAAAAAACAUUACCCAUGAAAAAUAUUAUUGUUGUAAAUAUUACUACAAGUCACAAAUGAUCAUGGUCCAGACCCGGUCUCACACAGCAGCUGCUCCCUCUGUCUGGGGCUGGGAGGAUGGGGUACUGCCCAAAACAUGAGCCCUACCUCAGCCCCGAGGCCUGAACAAGGCAGAACCGGCCCCAAGCCUUGAGGUAAUAUUAUAGGAGGCAGAAAAACUGCAUUUGAGGACAGGCAAGAUGCAUUCCUGGGCCAAGUGUCCCUCCUGACACAGACCCCAUGCUGCCUGCGCCUGAGGCUGAAGAGCGUGGCUGACUGCCUCCCCACCCCGAGGACUGGGGCGCCCAUGCCCUAGGGGACAGAGGAGAGAGGCCAAGACGGUGUCCUCCCCAGGAGAGCCAGGGAGACACGUGAGGUGGCCCUGGGAGGGAAGAAGAGGGUGUGAAGUGGGGGAGCUGCCCCACGUGUUGCAGCCCCAAGCUCUCCGGUUCCUUUUCUACUGGCCCAGAAGGGGACUCUUGUUCUGUGUCCUUUUCAGGAAAAUUGCACGGCAAAAAGUCACUUUUCUGCCAUGAAGACCAGAGAUGCCCAAUGCUCCUGGCCCUGAGUGAGCCUCCUCAAUGCCUAGAAGUGGCAGGAAACGCCUAAGAAGCCCUGGAGCCGGUGGGGGUGGCCGAGUCAGGGCCCUGCCCGCUGGGGCCCAGUGCCCUGCUGGGAGGUGAAGCUGGAAAGUCAUUGCAGCAGAGAUGAGAGAGCAGACCAGUGGCUCACAGCUGGGUCAGACAUGCCCUGAGGGAUUCCUUAUGGCAGCGCUGGUCCCCAGAGGAACCCCAGAUUCCUUGGCUUCCCCUCGUUCCCUAGUCACUACCAGUGUUCUCCAGAGAAACAGAACCAACAGGAUGCAUGCAGCUACAAAGAAGGAGAUUUAUUAUAAGGAAUUGUCUCAUCUGAUUAUGGAGGCUGAGAAGUCCCGCGAUUUGCCGUUGACAAGCUGCAGACCCAGGAGAGCUGAGAGGAGAGCCCCAGGCUGAAGCCAGCAGGCUCGAGCCCCCGGAGGACAAGGAUAUCAUACAGCAGCAGCAUUAUAAAAAGAGAAUGUAUCCCUGCCAAAGGCUGCUUCUCGGCACUGCCUCAGAGUCCGGGUUGAGCUCCAGGUGUCCUUUGUGAAAGGCCAUCCUGGAUGUACAUCCUCUCUUGGACCUCUCUUGGAGUCUCCAAGAUGUGCCUGGAACACCUCAGAAACAGGAAACUGGAAAUGGAGUCUUCUUACACCCUGCUGGUCACAUAGGCAUAUUUCCUGUGGCUCUACUGGCCUAGUGGUAGAACCUUUGUGUGUGGGGGUCUCAUUGAGACAAGGUGUUUAUCAUUGAUCUUG
Long non-coding RNA from Manis pentadactyla (Chinese pangolin), 1853 nucleotides. RefSeq lists it as uncharacterized. The record is from RefSeq and is a predicted model, not a curated record. Lineage: Eukaryota; Metazoa; Chordata; Mammalia; Pholidota; Manidae. The transcript is spliced from 4 exons.